This 497-nucleotide ribosomal RNA is filed under the name uncultured bacterium. RNAcentral's name for it is "partial 16S ribosomal RNA". It matches the Rfam family "Bacterial small subunit ribosomal RNA", at positions 28 to 507 of the family's 1533-position model. The record is from RNAcentral.
GAUGAACGCUGGCGGUGUGCCUAAUACAUGCAAGUCGAGCGAACAGACGAGGAGCUUACUCCUCUGACGUUAGCGGCGGACGGGUGAGUAACACGUGGAUAACCUACCUAUAAGACUGGGAUAACUUCGGGAAACCGGAGCUAAUACCGGAUAACAUGUUGAACCGCAUGGUUCAACAGUGAAAGACGGUCUUGCUGUCACUUAUAGAUGGAUCCGCGUCGCAUUAGCUAGUUGGUAAGGUAACGGCUUACCAAGGCAACGAUGCGUAGCCGACCUGAGAGGGCGACGCGCCACAAGGGAACUGAGACACGGCCCAGACUCCGAGGGGAGGCAGCAGGGGGGAAUCUUGGGAAAGGGGGGAAAGCAUGAGGGAGCAACGCCGGGGGAGGGAAGAAGGUUUUCGGAUGGAAAAACUUUUUUAUUGGGGAAGAAAAAUUGUGGAAGAAACUAUCCGGGUGUUGACGGGACCUAAUAAAAAAGCCCCGGCUAACUACGUG